AUCCAGCUGACGGAUCCCAAAUAGGGCGAAACGAGUGUCUUGGAU
This is a non-coding RNA of Schistosoma haematobium, 45 nucleotides long. NCBI's taxonomy places the organism in Eukaryota, Metazoa, Platyhelminthes, Trematoda, Strigeidida, Schistosomatidae. The record is from Rfam.